Molecule: ribosomal RNA, 253 nt
Filed under: uncultured bacterium
Lineage: Bacteria
Description: partial 16S ribosomal RNA
Rfam family: Bacterial small subunit ribosomal RNA
Source: RNAcentral
UACAGAGGUCUCAAGCGUUGUUCGGAUUCAUUGGGCGUAAAGGGUGCGUAGGUGGCGCCAUAAGUCAGGUGUGAAAUCUCGGGGCUCAACCCCGAAACUGCACUUGAUACUGUGGUGCUUGAGUACUGGAGAGGUGCGUGGAAUUCCCGGUGUAGCGGUGAAAUGCGCAGAUAUCGGGAAGAACACCCGUGGCGAAGGCGGCUCUCUGGGACGGUACUGACGCUGAGACGCGAAAGCGUGGGGAGCGAACAGG